RNAcentral lists this ribosomal RNA (254 nucleotides) under uncultured bacterium. RNAcentral's name for it is "partial 16S ribosomal RNA". It matches the Rfam family "Bacterial small subunit ribosomal RNA", at positions 524 to 776 of the family's 1533-position model. The record is from RNAcentral.
CACGUAGGCACCAAGCGUUGUCCGGAUUUAUUGGGCGUAAAGAGCUCGUAGGCGGUUCGGUAAGUCGGGUGUGAAAACUCUGGGCUCAACCCAGAGCCGCCACCCGAUACUGCUGUGACUUGAGUGCGGUAGGGGAGCGGGGAAUUCCUGGUGUAGCGGUGAAAUGCGCAGAUAUCAGGAGGAACACCAGUGGCGAAGGCGGGUCUCUGGGCCGAUACUGACGCUGAGGAGCGAAAGCGUGGGGAGCGAACAGG